CCUUGUGUCAAGUCUAAGAAGGAAUUUGAAGAAGCUGAGCAGGAUCCGGAGCUUGACCGGCUUGAGAUCUAUGCCCUCUAAGCCAAAUUGAGGUUAGAUAAUCAUAACAUGGUACUAGAGAGGUGUUUUGUUGACUGUUGUGAUAGCUCUUGAUGGUCUGGUUAGGGUGAUUUGUGAAGAGGCAGCAUGCACAAGUCUGAAUAAUAUCUGCUUGUGUUAUGUUUGCAGCUUCCAGUCUUCUUUCCACGUACAAGUUCUAUGGAUCCAGUUGUAGUAGCAGCCUGUACGUUAUGUUUUUGUAUGUGCUGGCAUUGAUUAUGAGGUGUACAGGUUUAGUUUAGUGUUGGGCUCCAAUUUUCUUUGGUUUUGAUCGAUGCAGCACCAUGUUGAGUUUAACCCUGCAACUUUUCUUAACUAGAUCAUGCUGGUGUUAAGGCUGGGAAUCACAAUAUCGAUGGCCUCAGCAUGUUUUUAGCAGUUGAAUUAAAGAUACUCUGUCUUGUUGCACAAACUGACGCAGAUCAAUGUUCAGAGGUAAUAUGGUUCUGCCCGUAAUUUUCAUUGACUGUCGGCAUGUUCCGUUUUUAUUCAUUACUCUGUAUAUCACGGCGGUAUGACUAUAGUAAGGAUAUAUGGCUGAUGCAUUUUGAACUUCUCUGUUCCUUUGGACAGAACAGAGCUGAUAAAUUAUCUAUUCUUUUUGGCUUUGGUAGUAUGAACAGAAAGCAGGCAGUAAUAAACCGAUAUGUUGUAGGAGUACUAUUUUGUUAAUGAAACGGGGUCAUUAUUAU
Molecule: long non-coding RNA, 791 nt
Filed under: Triticum aestivum (bread wheat)
Lineage: Eukaryota; Viridiplantae; Streptophyta; Magnoliopsida; Poales; Poaceae
Description: long non-coding RNA (TAES_LNC000103)
Source: RNAcentral